UGGGGAAUAUUGGACAAUGGGCGAAAGCCUGAUCCAGCCAUGCCGCGUGUGUGAAGAAGGUCUUCGGAUUGUAAAGCACUUUAAGUUGGGAGGAAGGGCAUUAACCUAAUACGUUAGUGUUUUGACGUUACCGACAGAAUAAGCACCGGCUAACUCUGUGCCAGCAGCCGCGGUAAUACAGAGGGUGCAAGCGUUAAUCGGAAUUACUGGGCGUAAAGCGCGCGUAGGUGGUUUGUUAAGUUGGAUGUGAAAGCCCCGGGCUCAACCUGGGAACUGCAUUCAAAACUGACUGACUAGAGUAUGGUAGAGGGUGGUGGAAUUUCCUGUGUAGCGGUGAAAUGCGUAGAUAUAGGA
This 354-nucleotide ribosomal RNA is filed under the name uncultured bacterium. RNAcentral describes it as "partial 16S ribosomal RNA". It matches the Rfam family "Bacterial small subunit ribosomal RNA", at positions 355 to 701 of the family's 1533-position model. The record is from RNAcentral.